RNAcentral lists this unclassified non-coding RNA (391 nucleotides) under soil metagenome. RNAcentral's name for it is "partial contains 5.8S ribosomal RNA, internal transcribed spacer 2, and large subunit ribosomal RNA". The stretch from base 1 to 122 matches the Rfam family "5.8S ribosomal RNA", at positions 35 to 154 of the family's 154-position model. The record is from RNAcentral.
GAUGAAGAACGUAGCGAAAUGCGAUACUUGGUGGGAAUUGCAGAAUCCCGUGAACCAUCGAGUCUUUGAACGCAAGUUGCGCCCGAAGCCACUAGGCCGAGGGCACGCCUGCCUGGGCGUCACACGCCGUUGCCCCCCCAUCUACUCCUUCGGGAUUGCGGGGGGGCGGAUGAUGGCCUCCUGUGCGCCUAGCCGCGCGGUUGGCAUAAAUACCAAGUCCUCGGCGACGCACGCCACGACAAUCGGUGGUUGCGAAACCUCGGUUGCCCGUCGUGUGCGUUCGUCGCGCAUCGAGGGCUCGAAAAAAUGCUCGGCUCCGGCUGGGCUUUCAACGCGACCCCAGGUCAGGCGGGGUUACCCGCUGAAUUUAAGCAUAUCAAUAAGCGGAGGA